Molecule: ribosomal RNA, 119 nt
Filed under: Hucho hucho (huchen)
Lineage: Eukaryota; Metazoa; Chordata; Actinopteri; Salmoniformes; Salmonidae
Source: RNAcentral
UCUUACGGCCAUACCAUCCUGAAUGCACCCGAUCUUGUCAGAUCUCGGAAGCUAAGCAGGAUCGGGCCUGGUUAGUACUUGGAUGUGUGACUGCCUGGGAAUACCAGGUGCUGUAAGCA